GCACCGCCCAAGUGCAAGUUCUUUGCGUGGUUAGUUAUCAAGGAUAGAAUUUGGACGGCCGACAGACUGCAAAGAAGAGGGUGGCCCAACUGCAAUUUGUGUCAACUUUGCAAGAGGGAGCCAGAGACCGCAGCUCAUCUUCUCUUCCAAUGCAGGUUCUCUGCCCGCAUUUGGAAUGCAAUAAGAGUUUGGGUGGAUGCCCCCGAACUGGAUGUGGCGGCCUGGAACGGGAUCCCCACGGUCAAAGAGUGGUGGUCGGCAGUGGUCCUUAGGCGUGGACAUAGGAGGAAGGCGAUUUCAUCACUCAUCAUGCUUGUUACUUGGGAAGUGUGGAAAGAGAGAAACGCGAGGGUGUUCCAGCAUGUAUGUAGGUUGCCAAGCGUGUUGGUCGAGGCUAUUAAA
Molecule: ribosomal RNA, 402 nt
Filed under: Triticum aestivum (bread wheat)
Lineage: Eukaryota; Viridiplantae; Streptophyta; Magnoliopsida; Poales; Poaceae
Description: partial small subunit ribosomal RNA
Source: RNAcentral